This is a non-coding RNA of Odocoileus virginianus texanus, 563 nucleotides long. The record is from RefSeq and is a predicted model, not a curated record. Lineage: Eukaryota; Metazoa; Chordata; Mammalia; Artiodactyla; Cervidae.
UCUUUUUCCAACAUACUGGCUCAUAUGCACGUGCACUCACACAGACACAGGCACAGUCACUUUCUGUCCUGGUUGGGGGAGGGGGGCGGUCCCAGGACCACGUUGGAUGGGAUUCUGAGCUGGGAGGAACAGGAGGAGUGGGACAAUUUCCUUUUCAGGCUGGGUCUCUUAGCGUCUUCCCGGGGACUCUGCUGGGGACACGGGAGCCCGGGAGCUGGACAAAGGGAUGAGGGAGACUUAAAGCCCAGAGAGGAGGUAAGACUUACCUAAGAGAACACAGCAACCUGAAGACACAGCUCCCCGCUUACAGUACCGGCUGGCCUCUCCCACCGUCCUGCCCACGCCCAUCUGCAGCCUCCCAGCCCAUCCAUGGCUGCAGACGACAGAAAAGCUGCAGCUCCCAAGGAGGGGCUUCCAGUGGUCCCCUGGGCCCCUGAGGAGGGCUCAAGGCCAGACCAGGAAGCCAGGGAGCAGGUGAAGGAUCGAGGCCAGUGGAACAACAAGAUGGAGUUCGUGCUGUCCGUGGCCGGGGAGAUCAUCGGGCUGGGCAACGUCUGGAGGUU